RNAcentral lists this ribosomal RNA (844 nucleotides) under Podosphaera xanthii. RNAcentral's name for it is "partial large subunit ribosomal RNA". It matches the Rfam family "Eukaryotic large subunit ribosomal RNA", at positions 67 to 930 of the family's 3401-position model. The record is from RNAcentral. Lineage: Eukaryota; Fungi; Ascomycota; Leotiomycetes; Helotiales; Erysiphaceae.
AACAGGGAUUACCUCAGUAACGGCGAGUGAAGCGGUAACAGCUCAAAUUUGAAAUCUGGCUCCUCGGGGCCCGAAUUGUAAUUUGUAGAAGAUGCUUUGGGUCUGGGCCUGGCCUAAGUUCCUUGGAACAGGACGUCGUAGAGGGUGAGAAUCCCGUAUGCGGCUGGCGCCCGUGCCCGUGUAAAGCUCUUUCAACGAGUCGAGUUGUUUGGGAAUGCAGCUCUAAAUGGGUGGUAAAUUUCAUCUAAAGCUAAAUAUUGGCCAGAGACCGAUAGCGCACAAGUAGAGUGAUCGAAAGAUGAAAAGCACUUUGGAAAGAGAGUUAAACAGUACGUGAAAUUGUUGAAAGGGAAGCGCUGGCAACCAGACUUGGGCGCUGUUGAUCCGCUAGGGUUCUCUCUAGGGCACUCGGCAGUGCGCAGGCCAGCAUCGGUUUGGGGGGUUGGAGAAUGGCUGGUGGAAUGUGGCUGUCUUUGGGCAGUGUUAUAGCCACCGGUGGCAUGCAGCCUCCCCGGACCGAGGACCGCGCUUCGGCUAGGAUGCUGGCGUAAUGGUUGUCAGCGACCCGUCUUGAAACACGGACCAAGGAGUCUAACAUCUAUGCGAGUGUUUGGGUGUUAAACCCAUACGCGGAAUGAAAGUGAACGUAGGUGAGAACCCGCAAGGGUGCAUCAUCGACCGAUCCUGAUGUCUUCGGAUGGAUUUGAGUAAGAGCAUAGCUGUUGGGACCCGAAAGAUGGUGAACUAUGCCUGAAUAGGGUGAAGCCAGAGGAAACUCUGGUGGAGGCUCGCAGCGGUUCUGACGUGCAAAUCGAUCGUCAAAUUUGGGUAUAGGGGCGAAAGA